Molecule: ribosomal RNA, 609 nt
Filed under: marine sediment metagenome
Description: SSU rRNA
Rfam family: Bacterial small subunit ribosomal RNA
Source: RNAcentral
CCCGCACAAGCAGCGGAGCGUGUGGUUUAAUUCGAUGCAACGCGAAGAACCUUACCAAGGCUUGACAUGUCGGAAGUAGCGACCCGAAAGGGAAGCCACCUGUUAAGUCAGGAACCGUCACAGGUGCUGCAUGGCUGUCGUCAGCUCGUGCCGUGAGGUGUUGGGUUAAGUCCCGUAACGAGCGCAACCCUCGUUGCCAGUUAUUUUCUCUGGCGAGACUGCCCCGCAAGACGGGGAGGAAGGUGAGGAUGACGUCAAGUCAGCACGGCCCUUAUGCCUUGGGCUACACACACGCUACAAUGGGUGGUACAAAGGGUAGCAAUGGAGCAAUCCGGAGCCAAUCCUAAAAGCCAUCCUCAGUUCGGAUUGCAGGCUGAAACUCGCCUGCAUGAAGUUGGAGUUGCUAGUAACCGCAGGUCAGCACACUGCGGUGAAUACGUUCUCGGGCCUUGUACACACCGCCCGUCACGUCAUGAAAGCCGGCAACACCUGAAGUCGAUGGGCUAACCCCAGCUUGCUGGGGAGGCAGUCGCCGAGGGUGGGGUUGGUGAUUGGGACGAAGUCGUAACAAGGUAGCCGUAGCGGAAGCUGCGGCUGGAUCACCUCCUU